GUAUUUUGACCGUGCUAAGGUAGCAUAAUCAUUAGUUUCUUAAUUAGAAGCUGGAAUGAAGGGUUCGAUGAAAAAAAUUCUGUCUCAGUUUUAAAUUUUGAAUUUUAUUUUUAAGUGAAAAAGCUUAAAUUUUAUUAAAAGACGAGAAGACCCUAUAGAGUUUAAUAGUUUAAUAAUUAUAGAAGUUGAGGUAUUAGAUUGGUCUAUAAUAUUUAAAUUAUUUGGUUGGGGUGACUGAAAAAUUAAAUAAACUUUUUCUUUUAGAAGUACAUUAAUUAGUGAAUUUAUGAUCCUUUUUUAAAGAUUAAGAGAAUAAAUUACCUUAGGGAUAACAGCGUUAUUUUUUCUUAGAGU
Molecule: ribosomal RNA, 354 nt
Filed under: Acanthotomicus kepongi
Lineage: Eukaryota; Metazoa; Arthropoda; Insecta; Coleoptera; Curculionidae
Description: partial 16S ribosomal RNA
Source: RNAcentral